Molecule: ribosomal RNA, 1387 nt
Filed under: Tetrahymena rayi
Lineage: Eukaryota; Ciliophora; Oligohymenophorea; Hymenostomatida; Tetrahymenidae
Description: SSU rRNA
Rfam family: Eukaryotic small subunit ribosomal RNA
Source: RNAcentral
UGCGACCGGAACGUAUUUAUUAGAUAUUAGACCAAUCGCAGUAAUGUGAUUGAGAUGAAUCAAAGUAACUGAUCGAAUCGAAGCUUGCUUCGAUAAAUCAUCUAAGUUUCUGCCCUAUCAGCUCUCGAUGGUAGUGUAUUGGACUACCAUGGCAGUCACGGGUAACGGAGAAUUAGGGUUCGAUUCCGGAGAAGGAGCCUGAGAAACGGCUACUACAACUACGGUUCGGCAGCAGGGAAGAAAAUUGGCCAAUCCUAAUUCAGGGAGCCAGUGACAAGAAAUAGCAAGCUGGGAAACCUAGUUUCUACGGCAUUGAAAUGAGAAAAGUGUAAAUCUCUUAGCGAGGAACAAUUGGAGGGCAAGUCAUGGUGCCAGCAGCCGCGGUAAUUCCAGCUCCAAUAGCGUAUAUUAAAGUUGUUGCAGUUAAAAAGCUCGUAGUUGAACUUCUGUUCAGGUUCAUUUCGACUCGUCGUGUGAAACUGGACAUACGUUUGCAAACUAAAAUCGGCCUUCACUGGUUCGACUUAGGGAGUAAACAUUUUACUGUGAAAAAAUUAGAGUGUUCCAGGCAGGUUUUAGCCCGAAUACAUUAGCAUGGAAUAAUGGAAUAGGACUAAGUCCAUUUUAUUGGUUCUUGGAUUUGGUAAUGAUUAAUAGGGACAGUUGGGGGCAUUAGUAUUUAAUAGUCAGAGGUGAAAUUCUUGGAUUUAUUAAGGACUAACUAAUGCGAAAGCAUUUGCCAAAGAUGUUUUCAUUAAUCAAGAACGAAAGUUAGGGGAUCAAAGACGAUCAGAUACCGUCGUAGUCUUAACUAUAAACUAUACCGACUCGGGAUCGGCUGGAAUAAAUGUCCAGUCGGCACCGUAUGAGAAAUCAAAGUCUUUGGGUUCUGGGGGAAGUAUGGUACGCAAGUCUGAAACUUAAAGGAAUUGACGGAACAGCACACCAGAAGUGGAACCUGCGGCUUAAUUUGACUCAACACGGGGAAACUCACGAGCGCAAGACAGAGAAGGGAUUGACAGAUUGAGAGCUCUUUCUUGAUUCUUUGGGUGGUGGUGCAUGGCCGUUCUUAGUUGGUGGAGUGAUUUGUCUGGUUAAUUCCGUUAACGAACGAGACCUUAACCUGCUAACUAGUCUGCUUGUGAACAACAGGUUGUACUUCUUAGAGGGACUAUUGUGCAAGAAGCCAAUGGAAGUUUAAGGCAAUAACAGGUCUGUGAUGCCCCUAGACGUGCUCGGCCGCACGCGCGUUACAAUGACUGGCGCAGAAAGUAUUUCCUGUCCUGGGAAGGUACGGGUAAUCUUAUUAAUACCAGUCGUGUUAGGGAUAGUUCUUUGGAAUUGUGGAUCUUGAACGAGGAAUUUCUAGUAAGUGCAAGUCAUCAGC